UGGCUCAGAUGGUAAAGUGUCUGUCUACAAUGCAGGAGACCCAGGUUCGAUCCCUGG
This is a transfer RNA of Ovis aries (sheep), 57 nucleotides long. It matches the Rfam family "tRNA", at positions 8 to 63 of the family's 71-position model. Rfam says of the family: Transfer RNA (tRNA) molecules are approximately 80 nucleotides in length. NCBI's taxonomy places the organism in Eukaryota, Metazoa, Chordata, Mammalia, Artiodactyla, Bovidae. The record is from Rfam.